Molecule: ribosomal RNA, 253 nt
Filed under: uncultured bacterium
Lineage: Bacteria
Description: partial 16S ribosomal RNA
Rfam family: Bacterial small subunit ribosomal RNA
Source: RNAcentral
UACGAAGGGUGCAAGCGUUGCUCGGAAUUAUUGGGCGUAAAGGGUAGGUAGGUGGUAAUAAAAGUCUGGGGUGAAAUCCCUGAGCUCAACUCAGGACGUGCCUUGGAAACUUUAUUACUAGAGUGCUGGAGAGGUCCGCAGAAUUCCCGGUGUAGCGGUGAAAUGCGUAGAGAUCGGGAGGAAUACCAGAGGCGAAGGCGGCGGACUGGACAGUCACUGACACUGAGGCACGAAAGCGUGGGGAGCAAACAGG